This is a long non-coding RNA of Carassius auratus (goldfish), 844 nucleotides long. RefSeq lists it as uncharacterized. The transcript is spliced from 3 exons. The record is from RefSeq and is a predicted model, not a curated record. Lineage: Eukaryota; Metazoa; Chordata; Actinopteri; Cypriniformes; Cyprinidae.
AAGAUAAUGUACUACAGAUAUUUAAAUCCUUUUUGUAUGUACUCCACUUCUUCACUGCCUGACCAUCAUCUUAAUGUUUAUGAAGUUCAAUUUUUUAUUAUUAUUUUUUUUUAAUCUAAAGCACCUUGUUCAGUGAGUAUUUAGAUGUUUUUCAUAUCUGUCACGGUCUAAUCAUGAUCUGUUUCUGUUGUUCUGAUGAAGGAAGCUUGUGUUGGGGAGGAUUCAAUGUCUGUUGAGGCACAUAUGAAUGUGCAACAAAGUGAGUAUCAGAAAACACAUCCAGACACAUAAACUGUCAAAGACCACACAGCAGGAACAUUCUCCUGGAGAUGCUGAGAAAACAUAGAAGGAAUGUGAUUCCUGUGAAUGUGUUUUUUUGACGAGGAUGUACUCAAAAAAUACACCUACUUCAGGACACCUGCUGGAGGGGACCCGGCUACACCUUUCCUACCAUACACCUGAUGGAUACUGACUGUAAAAUGGCAAUCAUAGGAGGAGCGCUCAGUGUGUUGACAGAAGAUUGAAUAGAUGAGUGUCCGUGCACCAGCCUUGAUGAAGCUUUCAUAACAGCCUUGUGGAUGUAUUCUGCUUUCAACAUUGCAUAUCCACCACACCUGAGUAUGGUUGACUGGAAGUCUGUCAGUCCAGAUGUGAGGAAGACACACAGAGUGGAGCUGGAGCUCAGCAGAUGUGUGAUGCUGUAGAUACUGUGGUCAUGGAAAGAAGAGCAUCUUAACAGCUUUCUAUUCAGACAAAGAGUUUGCUGGAUUCUGUUCUAUGGACUGCUACUAGAGAAUGAAUUAAUGAAUGAGUGGUUUAUCUAUCUAUCUAUCUAUCUAUCUAU